Molecule: ribosomal RNA, 418 nt
Filed under: uncultured eukaryote
Lineage: Eukaryota
Description: SSU rRNA
Rfam family: Eukaryotic small subunit ribosomal RNA
Source: RNAcentral
CAAUAGCGUAUAUUAAAGUUGUUGCGGUUAAAAAGCUCGUAGUUGGAUUUCUGUUGAGGACGACCGGUCCGCCCUCUGGGUGAGUAUCUGGCUCGGCCUUGGCAUCUUCUUGGAGAACGUAACUGCACUUGACUGUGUGGUGCGGUAUCCAGGACUUUUACUUUGAGGAAAUUAGAGUGUUUCAAGCAGGCGUACGCCUUGAAUACAUUAGCAUGGAAUAAUGAGAUAGGACCUUGGUUCUAUUUUGUUGGUUUCUAGAGCUGAGGUAAUGAUUAAUAGGGAUAGUUGGGGCAUUGCGUAUUAAUUAGUCAGAGGUGAAAUUCUUGGAUUUGUUAAAGACGGACUACUGCGAAAGCAUUUGCCAAGGAUGUUUUUCAUUGAUCAAGAACGAAAGUUAGGGGAUCGAAGACGAUCAGAU